CUCUUCUUGAAUAUAUUAUGAUGUAUGGCCUGCCCACUGAGUGUUGAAGGGCCGCGGUAUUUUGACCGUGCAAAGGUAGCAUAAUCAUUAGUCUUUUAAUUGUAGGCUGGAAUGAAUGGUUUGACGAGGUGUAAACUGUCUUUAAUUUAUUUGUUGAAUUUAAAUUUUAGGUUAAAAUGCCUAAAUUUUUUUUUGGGACGAGAAGACCCUAUAGAGUUUUAUAUAUUUUUAUUUUUUUGUGUGAUAAUUUUAAAUUUAAGAAUUUAUUUUGUUGGGGUGAUGGAAAGAUUUAAUUAACUCUUUUUAUUUUUUUAUAUUUAUUUAUAUGUAUUUGAUCCAUUUUUGUUGAUUAUAAGGCUAAAUUACC
This 367-nucleotide ribosomal RNA is filed under the name Cryptocercus changbaiensis. Its description in RNAcentral is "partial 16S large subunit ribosomal RNA". The record is from RNAcentral. Lineage: Eukaryota; Metazoa; Arthropoda; Insecta; Blattodea; Cryptocercidae.